Molecule: ribosomal RNA, 492 nt
Filed under: uncultured bacterium
Lineage: Bacteria
Description: partial 16S ribosomal RNA
Rfam family: Bacterial small subunit ribosomal RNA
Source: RNAcentral
AGUGAACGCUGGCGGUAGGCCUAACACAUGCAAGUCGAACGGCAGCACAGUAAGAGCUUGCUCUUACGGGUGGCGAGUGGCGGACGGGUGAGGAAUAAAUCGGAAUCUACUUUUUCGUGGGGGAUAACGUAGGGAAACUUACGCUCAUACCGCAUACGACCUACGGGUGAAAGCAGGGGAUCUUCGGACCUUGCGCGAUUGAAUGAGCCGAUGUCGGAUUAGCUAGUUGGCGGGGUAAAGGCCCACCAAGGCGACGAUCCGUAGCUGGUCGGAGAGGAUGAUCAGCCACACUGGAACUGAGACACGGUCCAGACUCCUACGGGAGGCAGCAGUGGGGAAUAUUGGACAAUGGGCGCAAGCCUGAUCCAGCCAUACCGCGUGGGUGAAGAAGGCCUUCGGGUUGUAAAGCCCUUUUGUUGGGAAAGAAAAGCAGCAGGUUAAUACCCCGCUGUUCUGACGGUACCCAAAGAAUAAGCACCGGCUAACUUCGUG